Molecule: transfer RNA, 75 nt
Filed under: Haloferula luteola
Lineage: Bacteria; Pseudomonadati; Verrucomicrobiota; Verrucomicrobiia; Verrucomicrobiales; Verrucomicrobiaceae
Also listed under: 1 other name
Description: tRNA-Arg
Rfam family: tRNA
About the family: Transfer RNA (tRNA) molecules are approximately 80 nucleotides in length. Their secondary structure includes four short double-helical elements and three loops (D, anti-codon, and T loops).
Source: RNAcentral
GGACCCGUAUUUCAACGGAUAGAAUGGCGCCCUCCGAAGGCGCAGAUGCAGGUUCGAUUCCUGCCGGGUCCACCA